RNAcentral lists this ribosomal RNA (500 nucleotides) under uncultured bacterium. RNAcentral's name for it is "partial 16S ribosomal RNA". It matches the Rfam family "Bacterial small subunit ribosomal RNA", at positions 30 to 523 of the family's 1533-position model. The record is from RNAcentral.
AUUGAACGCUGGCGGCAUGCCUUACACAUGCAAGUCGAACGGCAGCGGGGACUUCGGUACGCCGGCGAGUGGCGAACGGGUGAGUAAUGUAUCGGAACGUACCAUCGAGUGGGGGAUCACUAUCCGAAAGGAUAGCUAAUACAGCAUAUUCUCUACGGAGGAAAGUAGGGGACAGCAAGGCCUUGCGCUCCUAGAGCGGCGGAUAUCAGAUUCGCGAGUUGGUGGGGUAAAAGCUCUCCAAGGCGACGAUCUGUAGCGGGUCUGAGAGGAGGAUCGGCCACACUGGAACUGAGACACGGUCCAGACUCCUGCGGGAGGCAGCAGUGGGGAAUGUUGGACAAUGGGGGCAACCCUGAUCCAGCCAUGCCGCGUGAGUGAAGAAGGCCUUCAGGUUGUAAAGCUCUUUCGGCCGGGAAAAAAUCGCUUGGGCUAAUAUCCUGUGUGGAUGAUGGUACCGGAAUAAGAAGCACCGGCUAACUACGUGCCAGCCGCCGCAGUAA